Molecule: small RNA, 215 nt
Organism: Streptomyces toyocaensis
Lineage: Bacteria; Bacillati; Actinomycetota; Actinomycetes; Kitasatosporales; Streptomycetaceae
Rfam family: Streptomyces RNA 1601
About the family: Identified by deep sequencing of transcriptome at the end of exponential growth phase. Appears longer on northern blot than sequencing transcript. Streptomyces specific.
Source: Rfam
AACGACCGGUCGGACCCGUAUGCCUCGCGGCUAGCGAGCCCGGCCCACAAGUGGAGGCUUCGAACUCCCACCUGGCCGUCCUCAGGGCGGCGGGUCACCGGUCAGGCGGUCCCGUCCCCGAGACGGUGGUCCGCCCGAAAUCGCGCCCCGCGGUCGUCGCGGCGGUGCUCCGGUAGUUCGAGGAGCCCCGCCUGUGAUCGUCCGGGGCGUUUUCU